RNAcentral lists this ribosomal RNA (403 nucleotides) under Verrucomicrobiota bacterium. RNAcentral's name for it is "Verrucomicrobia bacterium partial 16S ribosomal RNA". It matches the Rfam family "Bacterial small subunit ribosomal RNA", at positions 355 to 776 of the family's 1533-position model. The record is from RNAcentral. Lineage: Bacteria; Pseudomonadati; Verrucomicrobiota.
UGGGGAAUAUUGCACAAUGGGGGAAACCCUGAUGCAGCGACGCCGCGUGAGCGAAGAAGGCUUUCGAGUCGUAAAGCUCUGUCCUAUGAGAAGAUAAUGACGGUAUCAUAGGAGGAAGCCCUGGCUAAAUACGUGCCAGCAGCCGCGGUAAUACGUAUGGGGCGAGCGUUGUCCGGAAUUAUUGGGCGUAAAGGGUACGUAGGUGGUUUUUUAAGUCAGGUGUCAAAGCGUGGAGCUUAACUCCAUUAAGCACUUGAAACUGAAAGACUUGAGUGAAGGAGAGGAAAGUGGAAUUCCUAGUGUAGCGGUGAAAUGCGUAGAUAUUAAAAAGAAUACCGGUGGCGAAGGCGACUUGCUGGGCACAAUCUGACGCUGAGGAACGAAAGCGUGGGGAGCAAACAGG